Molecule: transfer RNA, 76 nt
Filed under: Ovis aries (sheep)
Lineage: Eukaryota; Metazoa; Chordata; Mammalia; Artiodactyla; Bovidae
Rfam family: tRNA
About the family: Transfer RNA (tRNA) molecules are approximately 80 nucleotides in length.
Source: Rfam by way of RNAcentral
UCCCUGGUAGCUCAGUUGGUAAAGAAUCUGCCUGCAAUGCAGGAGAUCCAUCCAGGUUUGAUCCCUGGCUGGGGAA